GAAGGUCUGUGCUUGCUUCCCAUACUAAAGUUGGAAUGACAGAGAUUAGCAAGGCCCCUGCACAAGCCUGACACGCACAUUCAUGAAGCAUUUCGUAUUUUA
Small nuclear RNA from Octodon degus (degu), 102 nucleotides. The record is from Ensembl. NCBI's taxonomy places the organism in Eukaryota, Metazoa, Chordata, Mammalia, Rodentia, Octodontidae.